RNAcentral lists this ribosomal RNA (253 nucleotides) under uncultured bacterium. Its description in RNAcentral is "partial 16S ribosomal RNA". It matches the Rfam family "Bacterial small subunit ribosomal RNA", at positions 524 to 776 of the family's 1533-position model. The record is from RNAcentral.
UACGAAGGGGGCUAGCGUUGCUCGGAAUCACUGGGCGUAAAGCGCACGUAGGCGGCUUUCUAAGUCAGGGGUGAAAUCCUGGAGCUCAACUCCAGAACUGCCCUUGAUACUGGAAAGCUUGAGUUCGGGAGAGGUGAGUGGAACUGCGAGUGUAGAGGUGAAAUUCGUAGAUAUUCGCAAGAACACCAGUGGCGAAGGCGGCUCACUGGCACGAUACUGACGCUGAGGUGCGAAAGCGUGGGGAGCAAACAGG